UACGUAGGGGGCAAGCGUUGUCCGGAAUCAUUGGGCGUAAAGCGCGUGUAGGCGGUUCGGUAAGUCGGCUGUGAAAGUCCAGGGCUCAACCCUGGGAUGCCGGUCGAUACUGCCUGACUAGAGUUCGGAAGAGGCGAGUGGAAUUCCCGGUGUAGCGGUGAAAUGCGCAGAUAUCGGGAGGAACACCAAUGGCGAAGGCAGCUCGCUGGGACGUUACUGACGCUGAGACGCGAAAGCGUGGGGAGCAAACAGG
This 253-nucleotide ribosomal RNA is filed under the name uncultured bacterium. RNAcentral describes it as "partial 16S ribosomal RNA". It matches the Rfam family "Bacterial small subunit ribosomal RNA", at positions 524 to 776 of the family's 1533-position model. The record is from RNAcentral.